Molecule: long non-coding RNA, 847 nt
Filed under: Ictidomys tridecemlineatus (thirteen-lined ground squirrel)
Lineage: Eukaryota; Metazoa; Chordata; Mammalia; Rodentia; Sciuridae
Description: lncRNA (ENSSTOG00000034588.1)
Source: RNAcentral
CACUGAACGCGAACUGUUUUGCUUUGCUCCGGGAAGAGUGCAGACACAUAACGUGAAAUCCCGAGCUUUUUGCGUGGUGCAUUUAAAAUGCUUCCUUAUUUAUAUUACCCUCAUUCCCUCACCUCUCCCACCCCCUCACCAGUCCUUCCAAAUUUCCCUAGAAAUCUGUGUAAAGCAUGCGGAGGGGAAAAAAACAUUUGCACAAAAAGUGAAGGAGCUCGCCAAGGAGCGCCAAAGACCAAGAGGAGACCAGAUGAGUUUUCAAAGCAGUCCUCACACACCCAGGAUACAUGUCAUCUUUUGCCUCGUGCUUUCUGCAAUGUUGCUGCUCACGUUCAUCUUCCUAUUAACCCUUGCCAUGAUAACCCCUUCCUGAUCACCGCCUUGCCUCCAUCUGCCACCCAUUCAGCUCUUUCUCUGAGGUGCCCCUCCGGUGGGAAAUGGCUUUGAUCUUUGGCAAGCUCCCUUUUUGAGUUGUACCCCAAUGGCUGUCAUUAGUUUCCCUUUCUUCUAUCUCCUCCUCGUGCCAGACUUGGCCAACAUUCAGGUAAACUGCAGCAAAUUCCCCAAAUGAAGUUUCAAGACACACUGCCUGAGCAGUCACACUCAAUGAAGGGACCCAAGGUAUAUCUGAGUGUGAUGUCAUUGAAACCAGAUGGAAAGACCAGAAAUCCCAUAAUCCCAGUCAGAUAGAGUGAAAGAGCUUACUCGUGACUGUUUGGACUGAUUAAGAACGUGGGGGUAGGGAGGAGGAGAAAGAGAAAGAUCCUCAGAAUUUGCCCCUGAAUACAGGAUGGAAUCAUCUAGAUUUUUUUUUCCUUCAAUUAAAUUUGCAUUUCAUUCUACC